CCCUCGAUAGCUCAGUUGGAAGAGCAUGAGACUGUAAAUCUCAGGGUCAUCGGUUCGAUCCCGAUUCGAGGGA
RNAcentral lists this transfer RNA (73 nucleotides) under Melampsora larici-populina 98AG31. Its description in RNAcentral is "tRNA-Tyr (GTA) (tRNA-Tyr-GTA-4-1)". It matches the Rfam family "tRNA". From Rfam's summary of the family: Transfer RNA (tRNA) molecules are approximately 80 nucleotides in length. Lineage: Eukaryota; Fungi; Basidiomycota; Pucciniomycetes; Pucciniales; Melampsoraceae. The record is from RNAcentral.